UCUUCCCUCUUUCUUCGUGCCUAAUACAUGCAAGUCGAGCGAACAGACGAGGAGCUUGCUCCUCUGACGUUAGCGGCGGACGGGUGAGUAACACGUGGAUAACCUACCUAUAAGACUGGGAUAACUUCGGGAAACCGGAGCUAAUACCGGAUAAUAUAUUGAACCGCAUGGUUCAAUAGUGAAAGACGGUUUUGCUGUCACUUAUAGAUGGAUCCGCGCCGCAUUAGCUAGUUGGUAAGGUAACGGCUUACCAAGGCAACGAUGCGUAGCCGACCUGAGAGAGUGAUCGGCCACACUGGAACUGAGACACGGUCCAGACUCCUACGGGAGGCAGCAGUAGGGAAUCUUCCGCAAUGGGCGAAAGCCUGACGGAGCAACGCCGCGUGAGUGAUGAAGGUCUUCGGAUCGUAAAACUCUGUUAUUAGGGAAGAACAAAUGUGUAAGUAACUAUGCACGUCUUGACGGUACCUAAUCAGAAAGCCACGGCUAACUACGUG
Molecule: ribosomal RNA, 497 nt
Filed under: uncultured bacterium
Lineage: Bacteria
Description: partial 16S ribosomal RNA
Rfam family: Bacterial small subunit ribosomal RNA
Source: RNAcentral